RNAcentral lists this ribosomal RNA (253 nucleotides) under uncultured bacterium. RNAcentral describes it as "partial 16S ribosomal RNA". It matches the Rfam family "Bacterial small subunit ribosomal RNA", at positions 524 to 776 of the family's 1533-position model. The record is from RNAcentral.
UACGUAGGGUGCGAGCGUUGUCCGGAAUUACUGGGCGUAAAGAGCUCGUAGGCGGCUUGUCGCGUUGUUCGUGAAAAUUUACCGCUCAACGGUGAACUUGCGGGCGAUACGGGCAGGCUAGAGUACUGCAGGGGAGACUGGAAUUCCUGGUGUAGCGGUGAAAUGCGCAGAUAUCAGGAGGAACACCGGUGGCGAAGGCGGGUCUCUGGGCCGAUACUGACGCUGAGGAGCGAAAGCGUGGGGAGCGAACAGG